GUUUCUUUUGUCUUUGCCCCAUGUGGUAACUUUAGCGAUGGCAAGUAUAUUACAGAAUCCGUGCGACUUCUGGGCUUGUCACUGGGCCCACGAAAGGACUUGAAUCACAUACCCAAUCUUUUAAUUUUUAGUACAGUUUUCUUUUUAAAGUUGAGAGAUAGAGCUCAAGCCAAUCGAAAUGAUUCGGUUUAUAUCGAACUUGCAAGUCGGUAGAGUUUUUAACUUUUGAUAAGUUUUGACAAGGUUUUUUAUGGACAAAACCGGAAUGUUGGUAUUGCUAGAUGGCCGGUUAAUGCGGCGGCUGGAUAUGGAUGGGUUUAAAUGGCUGUGGUGGUGGCUGAGGUCAUUAUAGAGAUUUGGGAACUGAAAGCGAAGGUUCUGGGACUGACGGUGUAGCGUUUGAGUUUUGUCACGUGGCAUAAUUCACAUUGUAGUAGAUUUGGGCCUUAUUAAAAGAAUUCUGCAUUCUCUAUUUUGUCUUUCAGCCCAAUUUGGCCCGAUAAUUGAUUUAGUUCUAAUAAUACUUCAAAAUAGGCUUGG
This 540-nucleotide long non-coding RNA is filed under the name Brassica rapa (field mustard). RNAcentral's name for it is "long non-coding RNA (BRAP_LNC001968)". Lineage: Eukaryota; Viridiplantae; Streptophyta; Magnoliopsida; Brassicales; Brassicaceae. The record is from RNAcentral.